Molecule: long non-coding RNA, 9240 nt
Filed under: Setaria italica (foxtail millet)
Lineage: Eukaryota; Viridiplantae; Streptophyta; Magnoliopsida; Poales; Poaceae
Description: long non-coding RNA (SITA_LNC003671)
Source: RNAcentral
AACUGUACGCCCCUCAGCUCUCUGUAGAUGGUUGUCCGGUUCUUCUUUCAUGCUAAGCAUAAUGCUUAAUCAUGGGGGAGGUUUCACUACACUUCAUGACAAGCAUCAACGAGACGGUAAAUUUUUCUUAUACCUUCUCUUUUCCAUCUCUUUCUAAAUGCCUGUAUAUAUAUAAGCCUUCAACCUUUGACUUGGUGCAACCUUUGUGUGAUAAUAACAUGGCUAUUAGGAGGACAACCUAGAUUUGUUUUUAUUUUUGAUAAAUAGACAUGACCAUGUGCUCACCUUGAUGUUUUAUAUUGCCUUUGCUUAUGGAAAAAUGAUGAAAGUUGCCACUUUAUUUUACCCACACGAUGUUGUAUAUGGCUUGACUAAUUGCUCUCUAUAAUAUGAUCUUCAAUUGAUUUAAAUAUCGACUCUUUUAAUUGUGGAGGUUAAAUGACUAUUCUAGACCCACAUUCAUCCAGUUGCUCUUUGAUUUAAGUUUGCUGAUGCCCUGAUAACUUGUCUUAUUUUUAUUGAAACUUAAUUUUUACGCUAUCUACAUUCGUGAAUCUCUUGCAAAGUUCUACCCUACCAAAGCCUAUAUACAUGCAUGCCCCUUUCAUGAUGAAACCUUUAGAUUGCAAACUUAUAUUUUGAUGAGUUGGAUUAGGAUUGAUUUAUGUGGUAUGAGACUUAGAAGCUGGCCAUUCCUUUUGUGUUACCUUUGUUUUGCUAGCCUAUACUAUUCAUGCAUUGUGAUUUUCUUCAUUGAAAAAUUUGCAAAUCUCGCUGGAUAUCCACCUAAACCCAUAUAUCUUUUUGUGAUUAUCUUCCUUGUCCACAACCUAUUAAGAUGAGUAUGAUUAAAAUUUUUGGAGAUCGUUUCUAUACCUACCAGCAGCAAAUUUUUACUCACUUUUCAUGCUCGAGAACGAGCAUCGUUCAAGCAUGGGGGGAGAGUCAGUGCACUAUCUAUCCCUAACAACUGCUGGUUGGAUCAAGAUUUGUUAUGCUAGAAUUUGAGGAGAAAAGAAAGAACAAAGAAAGAAGAAGAAGAUAAAAAAGGAAAAAUAAUAAGGAAGAAACAGAAUGAAAAAAAGAGAAAGAAGGAAGAAAAGAAAUAACUAAAUAAAGAAAGAAUAAGCUCCUCAUCUUCUGAAGCAUCAUGAUUGGCUCGACAAGGUUACCAUUGUUAUAUAAACUUAUCAUUUUCCAAUCAUAUGCAAUCCGAUAACGAGAACUUCAUUUGUGCCUCGGGAUCAUUCAUUUGCCACUUGCACAUGUCCACCUAUCUAAAUGUGUGUGUUCCAUCCCUCUUCCUCUCCAACAUUUAUUUUUUAUGAUCUUUUUAACAAGUCUCAGUAAUUCCAAUAGAUCUCUCUCUUAAUUUGACAAUAUUUCAGAUAUAAUAUUUUGCUAGGAUUGUUUUUACCUACCAAGCUCCACAUAAGCCUUCCACUUUCAUAUAUGAGUAGAAUAGGUUGAAAAUAAUCUACUAUAGACUUGAGUGACUUGAUGAGAUGAGUGUUUCCAUGAAUUUUUGCAAGAGAAUCUCAAUUAUGUUGGAUAUGCAUCGUUUUGAAAAGCUCUUCAUGAUGAAAUAAGGUAAGGGUCUAAAGUUCACUUAAGUUUGAAGAGCAUUGCAUUUAUUUUAUUGUGGCUUGUUCUUUAUUGCUAGUCUAUCUUCCGUAAUGAAAAAGAAGGCAGUCACAACUUGAACUUUAAUGCUAAACACUUGAGAGAUAGCAAUAUAUCUUGUCAUGUAUAACUAAGUGUAGGGAUGAUAUUGGAAGGCAACACUAAUUUCUUUUAAGCAAGAAUUGACUUACUCAAGGACAAGCAAAGUGUAAGCAUGGGGGGAUUGUUGACGCUCGUUAUUGACAUAUUUUUAGUGCCAUUUAACUAGUGUUUUCAGGCAUAUUUUUAAACUAACCCACCACUUGGCACCUGAAAUAACCCCAUAUUCGUAUAUGUGUUAUGUUUUGGACCACAUUGCAAAAUCACAUGAAAUAGACAUAAAUGAAGGAUUUUUCUACAAGUUGGACUUAAGCCUGGACUUUGGAUAUUGGAAGGCCCAAACACGAACAUUGAACUGCAGGCCUACAUGAGUAGCUGAAACUUGCAUGAGUGAUACCUUUCUCAUUCGAACUUCGAUUAGAGUGAAUUUAUAGGGAAAAUUGCAUGUCUCAAAAAGAUCUACAACUUUCGUAUGAAGCGCUCAGGCAUUGGAGGCUUAUAAGGGGUGGGCCAAUCGACCUAGCUCAUUUUUGGCUCUGAUUGAUGUCCCCUUUCACCAGGAGGAAGCCCACGAUGUUCCUAGGGUUUUUUUUCCAGAUACUUGGCCUCGAAGGAACCCUAACCGAUGCCACCAACUAUAAAUAUCCAAGACAUUCAACAAGGAGGGGGAUCCCGAUAAGUUUAGACCUAGCCGCUGCCGUCACAAGAUGAAAAAUAGGGAUUAGAUCAGAUCACCGUGACGACCCACGCUGGCGGAAGUCAGGAGGCGUGAAGAAGUGCUUAGGCCGAUCGGCCUGAGGAACCCUAGGUUGAUCAACCCAAGGGGUUCCUGCUCCCUCUCGCCACCAUCUUCGGUGACGACGUUCUCCAGAGUCUCCUUCACCCCUUUGUGCAUUAAUCUCUGUAAGAUGAUGGGGGUAAAACCUCUGUUCAUCUUUAGGAUUGUUUGGAUCCUUGAUAUGUAACUACUACAUGUACAUUAUGUUUAAAUGUGACGAGUUCCUAUACCAGGGGUACCCCGGGGAAAGGAUUUAAGACAACAAGAUGCAAAAAGGCCAAGGGCCCAACAGCAAGAAGCGUAUUGGAGGCGGCCCAGAUGACGCCGCGCCCCAUCUCCCGACCUCUCUUGGUCGGGAGCUGAGGGCAAUAAUUCACCGAUCCAGCCAGAUCGGGGGCGGGGCCUGCAAGGGGCCCACAACACCCCACGCACUCUUUGACUAGGGAUGACCGGAGCCGUAACGGGAGCACAAAAUGCGGGGCGUGGCCCCCCUAACCACCCCACGUGGGGACAUGACCUGGCGGAGGGAGCCGACAUUUAACCAGGGGGUCUGAGGGUGAGGCUACACCCAUUGAACCGCCCAGGACGACUUGCAGGAUGAGGCCAUGCGCGGUUGUACGUGCCCCCGUGCCCCGACGUCAUCAUCGCCCUUACCACCAGGGUGACCCUUCAAGAUCAAGGCCAUGACACUAUGCUAGGCAUGGUACGGGCCUGCAGGCAAGGCGGGCCCAACGAUAGGUUUUACGGUGUGGAGUGCCCGUGAGCACACUAAAGUGGUCGGGGGAAAGCCGAGAGAAGCGGCACGCCCCAUCUAGGCCACUGACCAAGGCUUGCCCACUCAUCUCGGGUAAAGACGUCAGCAGCAGCUCUCGUCCCGUUCACUACCACGGGGUUGGCAGACAUGACGGGGGCACACCACGGAGCAGGCUAGGCCGUGCGUAAGUGGCCCACACCACAUAGGAGGCACCGUACAUAGCGUGCGAAGCCCACGACUGGCCACAAGGAUGGAGCCACCGUACAUAGUGUGCAAAGCCCACGACUGGCCAUAAGGAUAGGACAAGGAAGUCCCUUGGUGCAAGGCCACCCUGACCAUGCCACGACCCCCGACCUCUAAGGUCGGGGUCCCCCUCCAUUUAUCAACAUUUUCACCCGAUCCCUAGCUAAUAUAAAAGGAACCGUGCCUUCCUUCUUUCACUCUCGGUCAUUCAUUCACACACACACAUGCGCAUGUGCGCACAUUGCAUGGAUGCUUGCUUGUAAGCACCCCAUUGUAAGCUCAGCGCACUCGAUCCAAGGAAUACGACUCCUGUCAAAACUAGACGUAGGGAUCUUCUCGAACCAGUAUAAUUCCUUGUCUCUUGUGUGCUAGCCAUUGGAAGUCAGGAGAGUGCGGUGUACAAUCACUAGUCUGCGGUAUGUAACACCGACAGUUGGCGCGCUGGGUAGGGGAAGUCGAGUAUUCCUUGCUAGCUUUCGAUAGCUUCCAUUGGUUUCAACACCGGUGGUGGUGCCGCCUCGGGCGACACCAUUCGCUUCAGGAGCCUUGAGUUUGUCAUCAAUGCUUGGGGCGAGAUACAGCCCGUUCCUAGCAUCCUCUUGGCCCAAGCUUUUCGCUUUGGGAACCUGGACUUUGUCGUUGACUCACAAGGUCAACUACAGCUGUGGCGACCCUGCCACCCUGCCCAUCGACGAUGAUACCCUAGCAUGUCAGAUCAAUGCCUACCUUGAGGCAAACCCUGAGCCGAGACCUACCAGUGCACCUUCCAUGCGUUGGCCAACGUCUUCACCUAGCUCUCGGGGGAGGCCCCACUCCCCUCGAUGAGCGAGCUCUGGGACUAUAACACCCAAAUAUUCUAAAAUUUCAACUCAAUAAAAUUCAUCUGAAUUAGGGUCUGUUGUCGCUAGAAAUCACUGAUCGUAUUCCCAGCGUCGGACACACGACCCGGGAGAAUCUGCUUCGCUCCUGUUCGGGUGAAUCGCCCUGGUGCGGUUCGCGCGGCGUGCCAGCCAAUCUGACCUGUCGAUUGGCAAGGAAAUAAACGUAUCAGUUCCCAGGGGUUGCGAUCGGCUAAAGUUCCGAUCUUAGGAAAGCUUAUCAGCGAAUCGGCCGAUUUGCAGUAAUGAAGGAAAUCGGCUAUGAAGCAACCGAUUACCAAGUAACGUUUGUAGAGAAAACUACUGGAGCAAUCUAAACAACGUUAAGAUAGCGACACUAGGAACAGAUCCGAUCGGCUAUGUGGAAAAACGGUAAAUUAAGUAGCAAGAUAUAAUAAAGCCGAAGGUACUAAUUCCAAGCUGGAUAACUGGUGAUAAAACUAGAACUACAGGUAAAACCUAGAAUUCUAGUGAAUAUCGAUAACUAGUGAAUAAAUCUAAACGAAACGACAGCGAUGCGCCCGAAGUUAAAGCUUAGAAAUUACUCGAUAAACGGAACUUACAAGAUUAGCCGGAGGUCAAGUUGAUGCGGCCCCGCCAACCCGUACGAACUCGUGAAAAAGGGAAAAAGUGUUGGCGAAAUCGCUUGCUUGAAAGUAAGUACGAGGAAAAAGUAGUUUGUUGUAUUGAGUUGAUUGUUUUUUUACAGACCCAUAAGGGUGGCUAUUUAUAGCCCAGUACAAACGACUUCUAAUCCAACUAGAACUCUAUCUCUAACUUUAAACAGAAAAACUUCUUAUCCGACUAGAACUCUAUCCCCAAAUCUAAACAGAAAACGAAUAUUUACAAGUACGAUUCGUACUAUCUUUACGUGCUUCAUGGGCUGACCUCCUCUUUCAUCUUCAUAAUCCUUUUUAAGCCCACAUCGGCCCAAUCACCUCUUUAGCAAGGAGGUAACCGAUCAGGACCCACACGUCAAGGGCUCAAACCCAUCCCGACCCUGGGCACUAAGGUCGGACGAGGCGGAGAUCCUCCUUUGGAGGGGUCAGGCGCGUCCGACCCCAAGCCUCUGGGGUCAGGCGAGGCGGAGAUCCUCCUUUGGAGGGGUCGGGCGCGUCCGAUCCCAAGCCUUAGGGGUCGGGCGAGGCGGAGAUCCUCCCUUGGAGGGUCGGGCGCGUCCGAUCCCAAGCCUUAGGGGUCGGGCGAGGCGGAACUCCAAGGAUCAAUCAGCCGAUCCUCGACUGAAGCAUCAAAUGGCGGAUCCUUGACUGUAGCAGCAAUCGGCCGAUUUCCAAUCAUCGCCCUUGUAUCUCGCCGCAUCUUCCGAUCUUUUCUUCUCCUAACGCCGAUUUUACACGUAUCAAAAUCUGGCGUCAACACAUGCCCCCCAGUUUCGGAGUAAAACAUAGUCUUUACUUCGAAAUUCUUUUUUAACUUCACAUCCGAAAUAGACACCACGAAAACAUCCUGAUGAUUGCAAUCUUUUCGAAACGGGCGCCCACGACAACCACUACUCCCGAAAAACUCGAAACGCCGGCGCGGUAAAAAUUCCAUUUUUACCCCUUCUCAGACCUUCUUUAAAUAUCAGCACAUCCCGUACUCCUUACGAGCUCACGUCCUUCUUCUUCAGCGCACAGGCUUUCUUCUUCCUCCAAUACUUUCCUCAAUCCUCCAAUUCCCCAGCUCCUCCUUCUCUUCGCAUUCUUUCCUACUUUUCCAAUGGCGGCACCUUCAGGCACCUCGCAAACGCGCGAAGCUCCAAAAUGACACUUUCGGCGGAGAUUCCAGUGGCGACAGCGACGACUCCAUUGAUGGAAGAAGGAGCUUCAUCGGCGAAAGCUGAAGCCUCUUUUGAGAUCCCAUUGGCGGCUUCAUCCUCUGCAGCUGCACCGGCGACUCUGCCGAUUACGAGGAGCUUCAUUCCGGAGGUUAUUACCGAAACCUUCCCUUAUCGGUAGUGCAUUUAUCUUAGAUCUAUUUCUUACCCUCGCACCCCCUUUUCCUUUUUAGCAGUUAGUCAUCGCAUCACCAUUCGCCUUACAGAAAGCCUCGGCCUUAUCUGCCUCGAGCCCAUGGGGAACCCAGAUCCUACCGACCUGAUCAACUUGGAAACCCAUAGGAUCCCCUUCAAACAAUCAACCAUGGACUUAGAUCAAUGGUCGGGUACCUUUAAAUCUUGGCCGAACGAAACCCCUGGUUGGAGGGAAUGGUACCAGCGGAUAGCCGCCUCCAAGAAGCUCCAAUGGGACGAGCUCAAAAUUGGCCAAUGCAUCGACCUAUCCUUGUCCCAAAUGGAACGGAAUGAACCGUUAGUGAUGGCAGCUUCUUACUUUUGGUCUGAUGCUCUCAACGCAUUCUUGUUUGGACACGGACCCAUGACCCCCACAUUGGCCGAUGUUGUCUUGCUGACCGGCCUGGACAUCACUUCCCCGGAUACUCCUUUCCGCCUUAUAGCCGCAACAUCACAUCGGCUGGACACAAGGGGAAUCGGCGGGUGGAAGGGCUUCAUUAGAUGCAACAAAAGGGCCGGAUCUGUUGAGAACAGAGAGUAUACGGCCUUCCUGAUGAUGUGGCUAGAGAAGCACUUCUUCUAUGGGAGAGCAGCUGGUCCAUCUACCAAUACCCAAGCUCUAGCCGAAGCACUAUCAAUAGGGACUUCGGUUCCUCUCGGAAAGCACUUACUGGGAGCAGUUUACCAACUAGGCCUUCAUCAAAUCGGUAUCAAGCUAUCCCAAGGGGAGCCGAUUGGAAAUCCAGGUGGGCCCUGGUGGUUUAUUAACUUGUGGCUGAACUUGUAUAUGAGUGAGAUUUCUCAGCAGCGAGUGGAAAAUAUGACUUUCCCCAGCGUCGAAUCAGAAGAGAACCUCACUGUCCGACGCCGGUGUAUGUCCUUUGGCGAAGCGGCAUCAGCCUUCAGUGGUUGCUCGUAUUCUGCGACCAAGGUGGCCGAAUACUUUCGGUGCUUCUACAAUGGCUUCAAUGAAGAUGUAACCGUCUGGUUCCCUUAUCGGAGAGAUGACUCAAUCUUCGAGCUCCCUCCUUGUUUCGACUCAACCACCGGCCGAUUCGACGAAGAUCUCACAGAUGAGUUAAUUAAACCAGGGAUCUUGCCGGCCAACUUCUUCUCAGAAAAAGAUGCCCCCACGUAUGAAUUCUACAACCCUUCUGUUGCAGCGCGACAAUUCAUUAUGGGACAACUGCCGAUUCAGGCAUACUUCAUUGGCCGAGCAAAGUUCAGAGAUGAGCUCACCAAGGGCCUUGACUACAGUCGGCUGCGAGAUCGGAUACCAGACUCUAGCACCAUAGAUCUGAAUGACUGGAUAGUAGCUCCCUUUGCUGUCCAACAAUUCAAGUUAUGGUGGGCCGAAUGGAAAUAGUACCUAUUCUGCGCCUCCGCAUCAAUGUACCGCAACCUCUUGGAUCCAGCCAACAUCGAUCCGAACGCCGAGGUAUUUUCCCAUAACCGAUCUUCAUUCCUUCACUGAUGCAUUUAAAUAUGUAUACUAACAUCUUGCUGUUAUUCCAGUCUGAAAAUCGUGUUCCCCCAACACAUAGUUGGAGUGGUCGGCCGAUAGAGGAUCAUCACCCCUACACCAUUCUCCCUCUUAUCGGCUAUGAUGCCCCUUCCGUGGAUGUGAUCGCCGGCCGAUCGAAGCAGGCGCGGAAGAAGGUUACCAAGAAGACCAGCCGCCGAUUGAAGUGGGCUUUGCUAAGACACUGUACCCACUAGGGGACUGUUAUGCUUUGCUUAGACCUAAAACCUAAGCGGGUUACCACUUACUAGCGAAUCUUUGUAAAUGUCUCGUAGCGUCCUAUGGAAUCAUACCUCGGAAGUGUGGUAUGGUGCCUUGCAAAUACUGCAUGGUUGGGUCCAAAGUUCUUUUGAACUUUUACAUGACUUGUGGGUAAAGAAGUCAACCUUUGCAGAGUGUAAAAUGAUCGAUCAGCCAUGCUCAUGGUUAGGAGCGGCCUGGGCCCUCACAUGAUAACACUAUCGAAGGAUGGACCUAAAUCGCUAUUAUUUCAUUCAUGCUUAUGUUAUUGCUUUAUUUAUGUUCAUGUUUAGUUUCAGGUGGUAUAAACUUAUAUUUAGUUAAAUGCUAAUAAAAGUUGACAAACUGAAUUAAAAGCUGAUGCUGAUUAAACCUUAGCCAUACCUUGAUUUGCCUUACACUACACUGUUCCCCAUGACUUGUUGAGUACCUACUAUAAGUGUACUCACCCUUGCAAAACCACUGUUCAGACCAAGUUAAUCUUGAGGAGUAUCCGCAAGACCUUGAGGAGUUCUAGGCAUACAGUUCUUCAGUCAGCUGCCUGCGGUGUCUUUGCUUCCGUUGGAGUCCGCUACGUAAUAAAUUAGAUUUGUGUUUUGUUGAGACUUUCGGUCAUGUAAUAACUUUUUAAUACUCUCUUUAUUCGUUAUGACACUAUCUUUAUUAUUCACUUAUGUCUUACAUGUGUGUAACUUGACCUUGACAUACAUGUAUUCAAGGCACUCAGUUUUGUCCUUAAAACUGGGUGUGACAGAAGUGGCAUCAGAGCCGUGUUGACUAUAGGACGUUAGCCUAGUUGGAAAAUGAUUGCAAUUAAGGAUUAUAAUUAUCUAGUAGCCAUUCCUACUUACUCCUUAAUUUAAAUCUACUUAAAUAAUUUUAACCUUGAUUUUACCUCAUCCUUAUUGUUAUGCUUCUAUAUUAUUCCUUUAUUUUUCUUCUAUCCUUGUUCAUGCAAAAUUUUGUUCUAAAUUAAUUCCAUCUUCUUUCUUCUGUUAGAUGGCUCGCACAAGAAGGACAGCCCGCAAGAGCACCCAUCCUCCGCACCAUGGCAUCACGCAGUGUCACCCCAUGGAGCCUAGAGAAUAGGAG